RNA transcript from Arvicola amphibius (Eurasian water vole), 1651 nucleotides. It is a transcript of the gene named regucalcin-like, with no coding region annotated. The transcript is spliced from 6 exons. The record is from RefSeq and is a predicted model, not a curated record. NCBI's taxonomy places the organism in Eukaryota, Metazoa, Chordata, Mammalia, Rodentia, Cricetidae.
GCCCUGGAAGCAGAGGCCACAAAAGGUGCAGGUAGCUGGGUAACUACCAGGGCUUCAGGUGGGGCGUGAGGGGGCUCCUGAGACAUUCUGGGGACUUGGGGGGUUCCUAGGCCUUCCUGGGAGCAUGGGGGAUCUUCUCCAGACAUGGGAGGCUCCUGAGGGCAUGGGGGGCUUCUGGACCUCCCUGGGGACAUAGGGGCCUCUUGGUGGCAUGAGGGACCUUUCUGGGGGAAUGAGGAGCUCCUGGGCACCUCUUAUCCCAGCAAAGUCCCUGGCAGGGCCGGUGUGCCAGCCCUAGGCUCUCCCUGGGUCUGGUGCUGACUCAGGUGGAGAAAGAAGAUCUGUCCUGGCAGGUACAGUUUAUCCCGUAGCCUCCCCGGGUGCCAUGGCGUCCCCCAGGACUGACAUACAGGCAGUGGUCAUGGAGAGGCACAGGAUGGGUGAAUGUCCUGUGUGGGAGGAGGCGACAGGACAGCUAGUUUAUGUGGACAUCCACGCGCAGACUGUGUGCCGCUGGAGCCCACACAGUGGGCAGGUGCAGGCAGUGAGCCUGGGACACCGCGUGGGCUGCGUGGCCCUGCGCGGCCGGAAAAAGGGCAGCUAUGUGGUGGCCGCUGGCACCUGCCUGGGCCUCCUGGACUGGGAUUCGCAGCAGGUGACAUGGGUGGCACAGCUGGACAGACACAGGCCACACAACCGGUUCAAUGAUGGCAAGGCUGACCCCGCGGGGAGGUUCGUGGCAGGCACCAUGCCCGAGCCCUCUGCACCCGAUGUGUGGGAGCCAGCCCAGGGCUCGCUGUACUCACUGCAGGGGAACCACUCGGUGCUAUGCCUGGCCGACCGGCUUGGCAUCCCCAACGGGCUGGACUGGUCUACUGACCACCGCACCUUCUACCACGUGGACAGCCUGGACUACGCGGUGCACGCAUAUGACUAUGACAUGCAGGCCGGCACCAUCAGUGAGCGCAGAGUCCACGCGGGACUCACUCCGGAGACAGGGAGGCAGACCUGGGGACAGACCGUGGGACUCAGGGAACAGAUCACAGAACUCGGGAGAACCGCCGACUUGUGUACCAGCUGCCGCGGGGUCGGGCCAUGCCCGACGGUCUGUGCGUGGACAGCGCAGGGACACUGUGGGUGGCCUGUAUCGAUGGCGGUAAGGUCAUCCAAGUGGACCCGCAGACAGGUGCGUGACGUCAGGAGCCAUACAGUCCUGGGAAAGGUCACGGUGUGUGGUCCAGUGCUUUGCAAGGUGUUUCUGGGCAUGAUGGGGUCACCUGCGUGGGUCUUUGGCGUGGCAGCGUCAUUGUGUGUGAACCCUGGGCGUGGCAGGGUCAGGGUGCAAGGUUCAGAUAGGACGCGUCCUACCCUCCAUCCUGAGUGGGAGUGUAGGGUGAGGACGUCAGGGUUACAAGCCCCCACGGACCUGGUAGGGUCCUUCCUUCCUGUCUGAUGAGCUCCAGGGGCUCGAGAUGUCCUAGGCUCCUGUCUGCCCGCACCGUGAACCUGUCUGCUUCUGUCUGCGCACCUUGGACCUGCCAGUGUCCAGGGUCACUUCCUGCUGCUUCGGGGGCCCCGACUAUGCGGAACUGUACGUGACUUCGGCGGCCGACGGGCUGAGCCCUGAGCAGCUGCAGCAGGAGCCCCAGGC